This is a long non-coding RNA of Mus musculus (house mouse), 461 nucleotides long. RefSeq annotates it as predicted gene, 42204. The transcript is spliced from 3 exons. NCBI's taxonomy places the organism in Eukaryota, Metazoa, Chordata, Mammalia, Rodentia, Muridae. The record is from RefSeq and is a predicted model, not a curated record.
CUUUCAAGGAUAUGGGUCUGUGACUGAAAUGUGCGCCAAACGGUUGGAAUCCGUUUUCCAGUCUCUAAUCUUCUCAUCUCAUCAUUAAAACCCAACGAUGACCAGAGAAGCAUCUGAAAGAGCAUUAUGGCGCAUCAGGGAGCUCAGCACAGUGGUCAUCUAUCACCAGUCAGGCAUCCUGUGGCUUUCUGUGUGCGGUGCUCUGACCACAGGCAGGCCUACUGUGUGCCAGGUACCUUUCUGGAGGUACAGCCAACUUUGGUCCCCAUGGAAUCAACAAAACCUAGAAACACAUACCACCGAUAACGUAACAAUUGUUUUAAAUAAAGAAGCGGCUUUUAGUAGCACAACAUGCUUGAGGUGUGAGAAGGUGGAGUGAGCCACGCAUCUGUUGUCGUUCUGCUGACGAAGUCCAGUUGAGACGCAAAACCCAGGGAUGCCUUUCUGCUCAUCACUGAUGC